RNAcentral lists this ribosomal RNA (253 nucleotides) under uncultured bacterium. RNAcentral's name for it is "partial 16S ribosomal RNA". It matches the Rfam family "Bacterial small subunit ribosomal RNA", at positions 524 to 776 of the family's 1533-position model. The record is from RNAcentral.
UACGUAGGUGGCAAGCGUUGUCCGGAUUUACUGGGCGUAAAGAGCGCGCAGGCGGCCGAGUAAGUCGAAUGUGAAAGCCCCCGGCUCAACUGGGGAGGGUCACGCGAUACUGAUCGACUCGAAGGCAGGAGAGGGUAGUGGAAUUCCCGGUGUAGUGGUGAAAUGCGUAGAUAUCGGGAGGAACACCAGUGGCGAAGGCGUCUACCUGGCCUGCUCUUGACGCUGAGGCGCGAAAGCGUGGGGAGCAAACAGG